AAUGAACCGGCGAGUUACGAUUUGAUGCAAGGUUAAGCAGUAAAUGUGGAGCCGUAGCGAAAGCGAGUCUGAAUAGGGCGUUUAGUAUUUGGUCGUAGACCCGAAACCAGGUGAUCUACCCUUGGUCAGGUUGAAGUUCAGGUAACACUGAAUGGAGGACCGAACCGACUUACGUUGAAAAGUGAGCGGAUGAACUGAGGGUAGCGGAGAAAUUCCAAUCGAACCUGGAGAUAGCUGGUUCUCUCCGAAAUAGCUUUAGGGCUAGCCUCAAGUGAUGAUUAUUGGAGGUAGAGCACUGUUUGGACGAGGGGCCCCUCUCGGGUUACCGAAUUCAGACAAACUCCGAAUGCCAAUUAAUUUAACUUGGGAGUCAGAACAUGGGUGAUAAGGUCCGUGUUCGAAAGGGAAACAGCCCAGACCACCAGCUAAGGUCCCAAAAUAUAUGUUAAGUGGAAAAGGAUGUGGCGUUGCCCAGACAACUAGGAUGUUGGCUUAGAAGCAGCCAUCAUUUAAAGAGUGCGUAAUAGCUCACUAGUCGAGUGACACUGCGCCGAAAAUGUACCGGGGCUAAACAUAUUACCGAAGCUGUGGAUUGUCCUUUGGACAAUGGUAGGAGAGCGUUCUAAGGGCGUUGAAGCAUGAUCGUAAGGACAUGUGGAGCGCUUAGAAGUGAGAAUGCCGGUGUGAGUAGCGAAAGACGGGUGAGAAUCCCGUCCACCGAUUGACUAAGGUUUCCAGAGGAAGGCUCGUCCGCUCUGGGUUAGUCGGGUCCUAAGCUGAGGCCGACAGGCGUAGGCGAUGGAUAACAGGUUGAUAUUCCUGUACCACCUAUAAUCGUUUUAAUCGAUGGGGGGACGCAGUAGGAUAGGCGAAGCGUGCGAUUGGAUUGCACGUCUAAGCAGUAAGGCUGAGUAUUAGGCAAAUCCGGUACUCGUUAAGGCUGAGCUGUGAUGGGGAGAAGACAUUGUGUCUUCGAGUCGUUGAUUUCACACUGCCGAGAAAAGCCUCUAGAUAGAAAAUAGGUGCCCGUACCGCAAACCGACACAGGUAGUCAAGAUGAGAAUUCUAAGGUGAGCGAGCGAACUCUCGUUAA
Molecule: ribosomal RNA, 1093 nt
Filed under: Staphylococcus aureus
Lineage: Bacteria; Bacillati; Bacillota; Bacilli; Caryophanales; Staphylococcaceae
Description: partial 23S ribosomal RNA
Rfam family: Bacterial large subunit ribosomal RNA
Source: RNAcentral